GACGAACGCUGGCGGCGUGCUUAACACAUGCAAGUCGAACGGAAAGGCCCUGCUUUUGUGGGGUGCUCGAGUGGCGAACGGGUGAGUAACACGUGAGUAACCUGCCCUUGACUUUGGGAUAACUUCAGGAAACUGGGGCUAAUACCGGAUAGGAGCUCCUGCUGCAUGGUGGGGGUUGGAAAGUUUCGGCGGUUGGGGAUGGACUCGCGGCUUAUCAGCUUGUUGGUGGGGUAGUGGCUUACCAAGGCUUUGACGGGUAGCCGGCCUGAGAGGGUUACCGGCCACAAUGGGACUGAGAUACGGCCCAGACUCCUAAGGGAGGCAGAAGUGGGGAAUAUUGCACAAUGGGCGGAAGCCUGAUGCAGCAACGCCGCGUGCGGGAUGACGGCCUUCGGGUUGUAAACCGCGUUCGCCUGUGACGAAGCGUGAGUGACGGUAAUGGGUAAAGAAGCACCGGCUAAAUACGUG
RNAcentral lists this ribosomal RNA (468 nucleotides) under uncultured bacterium. RNAcentral's name for it is "partial 16S ribosomal RNA". It matches the Rfam family "Bacterial small subunit ribosomal RNA", at positions 28 to 507 of the family's 1533-position model. The record is from RNAcentral.